Molecule: ribosomal RNA, 397 nt
Filed under: Neanthes sp. 1 MG-2023b
Lineage: Eukaryota; Metazoa; Annelida; Polychaeta; Phyllodocida; Nereididae
Description: partial large subunit ribosomal RNA
Rfam family: Bacterial large subunit ribosomal RNA
Source: RNAcentral
UAGCAUAAUCAUUUGCCUUUUAAUUGAAGGCUAGUAUGAAAGGACACACAAGAAUAAAUCUGUCUCUUCUGGAAAAAUAUAAACUAAAUCUCAGGUGAAGAUGCCUGAAUUAACAUAAAGGACAAGAAGACCCUAUAGAGCUUUAUUAAUAUAAGUUAUUAUACUAACUAUUAAUUUGGUUGGGACAACCAAAAGACAUUCACACCUCUUUUAUAAUAUGUAUUAUACACACAUCAAACCCUUAAUUAGAAUUAAGCUACCUUAGGGAUAACAGGCUAAUCUUACUAGAGAGACCACAUUGACAGUAAGGGUUGGCACCUCGAUGUUGGCUUAGUGUAACUAUUAAGCGCAGCCGCUUAAUUUAGUCGGUUUGUUCAACCGUUAAAUCACUACGUGA